This 495-nucleotide ribosomal RNA is filed under the name uncultured bacterium. RNAcentral's name for it is "partial 16S ribosomal RNA". It matches the Rfam family "Bacterial small subunit ribosomal RNA", at positions 28 to 507 of the family's 1533-position model. The record is from RNAcentral.
GACGAACGCUGGCGGCGUGCCUAAUACAUGCAAGUCGAACGCUGAAGGAGGAGCUUGCUUCUCCGGAUGAGUUGCGAACGGGUGAGUAACGCGUAGGUAACCUGCCUGGUAGCGGGGGAUAACUAUUGGAAACGAUAGCUAAUACCGCAUAACAGUAGAUGUUGCAUGACAUUUGCUUAAAAGGUGCAAUUGCAUCACUACCAGAUGGACCUGCGUUGUAUUAGCUAGUUGGUGAGGUAACGGCUCACCAAGGCGACGAUACAUAGCCGACCUGAGAGGGUGAUCGGCCACACUGGGACUGAGACACGGCCCAGACUCCUACGGGAGGCAGCAGUAGGGAAUCUUCGGCAAUGGACGGAAGUCUGACCGAGCAACGCCGCGUGAGUGAAGAAGGUUUUCGGAUCGUAAAGCUCUGUUGUAAGAGAAGAACGAGUGUGAGAGUGGAAAGUUCACACUGUGACGGUAUCUUACCAGAAAGGGACGGCUAACUACGUG